GUCAGUAAGUUCCAACAACUUGUGUCGACGGGUCGCCGCGUGUGAUAUUAUAAGGAUACAACGAACAAAAACUGAUUUUUAACAUCAUGCCUCCUAAAAGGGCACCUUGGUGCGAGGAGGAUUUAAUAUCAGCAGUUCGAUCUGUUCAACGCGGUACUCUGAGUACAUAUGGGACUGCGGCAAGGUUUAAUAUUCCCAGAAGAACCAUUAGAAAUCAUGUUCAGAAUGGAAUCCUAAUAAAAAGACUAGGUCGUAAAUCUAUUUUAAAAGAAGAACAAGAAGCUGAUCUCGUUAAAAAAAUAAUAAGAUUUAGUGAAAUAGGUCUACCUGUGACUCCUUAUCGUGAUAUCCUUCGUCGAUUGGUAUUCAGAUUCUGCGAAGAUAAUAAAAUUGCUCAUCAAUUUAAUACAACUUCAAAACUUGCUGGUAAAGACUAGCUAAAGGCUUUUAUGAAGAGAAAUCCUGUAAUUUCUAAAAGAAAAGCACAGUUUAUGAAUCCAGCUAGGGCU
This is a long non-coding RNA of Anthonomus grandis grandis, 509 nucleotides long. RefSeq lists it as uncharacterized. NCBI's taxonomy places the organism in Eukaryota, Metazoa, Arthropoda, Insecta, Coleoptera, Curculionidae. The transcript has 3 exons. The record is from RefSeq and is a predicted model, not a curated record.